UGAGGAAUCUUCCACAAUGGGCGAAAGCCUGAUGGAGCAACGCCGCGUGAAGGAUGAAGGUCUUCGGAUUGUAAACUUCUUUUAUGAGUGAAGAAUAUGACGGUAACUCAUGAAUAAGCACCGGCUAACUACGUGCCAGCAGCCGCGGUCAUACGUAGGGUGCAAGCAUUAUCCGGAGUGACUGGGCGUAAAGAGUUGCGUAGGCGGUUAUGUAAGCGAAUAGUGAAACCUGGUGGCUCAACCACACAGACUAUUAUUCGAACUGCAUAACUCGAGAAUGGUAGAGGUAACUGGAAUUUCUUGUGUAGGAGUGAAAUCCGUAGAUAUAAGAAGGAACACCAAUGGCGUAGGCAGGUUACUGGGCCAUUUCUGACGCUAAGGCACGAAAGCGUGGGGAGCG
RNAcentral lists this ribosomal RNA (400 nucleotides) under uncultured bacterium. RNAcentral's name for it is "bacterial SSU rRNA". It matches the Rfam family "Bacterial small subunit ribosomal RNA", at positions 355 to 770 of the family's 1533-position model. The record is from RNAcentral.